UUCUCGUUCGUAUAGUGGCUAGUAUACACGCCUGUCACGCGUGUGACCCGGGUUCAAUUCCCGGACGGGAAG
This is a transfer RNA of Leucosporidium creatinivorum, 72 nucleotides long. It matches the Rfam family "tRNA". From Rfam's summary of the family: Transfer RNA (tRNA) molecules are approximately 80 nucleotides in length. Their secondary structure includes four short double-helical elements and three loops (D, anti-codon, and T loops). The record is from Rfam. Lineage: Eukaryota; Fungi; Basidiomycota; Microbotryomycetes; Leucosporidiales; Leucosporidiaceae.